AGUAAUGCUUGGGAAUCUGGCUUAUGGAGGGGGGUAACUACGGGAAACUGUAGCUAAUACCGCGUAAUAUCGAAAGAUUAAAGUGUGGGACCUUCGGGCCACAUGCCAUAGGAUGAGCCCAAGUGGGAUUAGGUAGUUGGUGAGGUAAAGGCUCACCAAGCCGACGAUCUCUAGCUGGUCUGAGAGGAUGACCAGCCACACUGGGACUGAGACACGGCCCAG
This 222-nucleotide ribosomal RNA is filed under the name uncultured bacterium. Its description in RNAcentral is "partial 16S ribosomal RNA". It matches the Rfam family "Bacterial small subunit ribosomal RNA", at positions 109 to 334 of the family's 1533-position model. The record is from RNAcentral.